CAACAAAACAGCAAAGGGUCUCCACGGCGACUGAGUCCAACCACAUGAAAGCAGUGAGAGGAGGCUUUUAGCCCAUGUUGUGGAUGCCAAUGUUAGCAACACAGAGCAACGCAGUGUGCUGCUGAUGGCUGACAGCUUUCUCAACAAGACGGCAGCAUUGGGACCGCAAGACCAGGACACAACCCGGGCUAUGUUUGAAUUGAAAGUAUUUAACAUGGUCAUCAUUGUCCUGGCUCUGUGUGUCCUCACUGUCACUGGUCUGUACUGCAUCACUGUCUGCUACAACCGCACCAGGCAGUCUAAGCGCGCCCACAUUUACGAGAGCGCCGUGACCCGGGGCGAGCAGGUUGACCCUGUGGCGGUCAAAGCAGUGAAAAGGUCAACCAGCUUCAUCAACCCUCUGACUUUGUUCAGGAAACCAGAGGCAGCAAAGGACAACUCCAGGAUUUAUUACAUCUACAGCAACCCACUGCCCGUGGGCCUGAAGGAGGACGAGGACAAAGCGGGAAACCGAGUCAGAGGAGGGUCAGAGGAGCAGGUGGCACUGCUGCCCUCCAUGUCGUUGGAGGAGUACGCCAAUGCCCCCAACAGCUGCAUAGUCCUGGACCCGCCCAUAUUUUACAUGCAGCUAUAGAAAAGUCAUGCUGCGGAGACCGCCAACCUGUAGCUGCUGGAUGCAAAGGGGUCUCCAAACCUCUGUUAUAGAACCACAGUUUGAAAGACAACCAUCAGUGAGAAAAAGUUCUGUUAAGAUGCUGUGCACCAAUGUGUUCUUAUUCUAAUAUACAAAUAACUGGAACAAUGAAGCUAAAGUGAACCUGAUGAAGCUCAAAUUAGAAAUACACGUUCCAUCAGUUGUUAAUUCAGUGUAAAAUGACAUUUUGAGGCACCAAUAUUCAGAUUGUUUCAUACUCUUACCAUAUAAAAUCCCAUUGUGAUUAAAGUCUAUUUUUUAAGAGUAAAGUGAAUAAGCAGAUGCAUCC
RNAcentral lists this long non-coding RNA (983 nucleotides) under Gouania willdenowi (blunt-snouted clingfish). RNAcentral's name for it is "lncRNA (ENSGWIG00000021771.1)". The record is from RNAcentral. Lineage: Eukaryota; Metazoa; Chordata; Actinopteri; Blenniiformes; Gobiesocidae.